GCGCUCACUUUAGCACCACAUAUACUAAAAGUGGAACAAUACAGAGAAGAUUAGCAUGGCCCCUGUACAAGGAUGACAUACAUGCAACUUCGUGAAGCAUUCCAUAUUUUU
Bison bison bison is the source of this 111-nucleotide small nuclear RNA. The record is from Ensembl. NCBI's taxonomy places the organism in Eukaryota, Metazoa, Chordata, Mammalia, Artiodactyla, Bovidae.